This 1199-nucleotide long non-coding RNA is filed under the name Oryctolagus cuniculus (rabbit). RNAcentral's name for it is "lncRNA (ENSOCUG00000030314.1)". The record is from RNAcentral. Lineage: Eukaryota; Metazoa; Chordata; Mammalia; Lagomorpha; Leporidae.
AUGGCUGAAGCGGCUUUUUACACACCCAGUUCUCUUUCUUCAGCCUUUAUUCCCAAUGCGGUCUCUCUUUUUAACAGGCCCCCUUCCCUCCUCUCUCCACAGCCAGUUCCCACCAUCUUUCCCCAGCUCAGUAGUUCUCUACUCGAGGCAAUUUGCCCCCCAAGGGGCAUUUGGCAAUGUUGCCAGAUUUUUUUUUAUUGCCAUAACCUGGGAAAAGGUGCAAGCAGUGGCCAAUGGAUAAAGGCCAAGGCCGCUGCUGAGUAUUUUCCAAUGUGUGGGCCAGUUCUCCCCGGCAAGGAAUUGUCAAAAAUGCAAGAUCUGCAAGGUCUACAAUCUCCGGGGGCUCCUUCGUCACAUCCUAGUUCACAACUCAUCUCCCCUGAAACGUCUGUGAACACCACUCCCCACGGAGAAAUGGAUGGAAACACGCUAAAAGACAAGAACACUCAAGCACACCUAGUAUGUAUCUUGAUCACAUCAGAAUAACCUUCCAGAACUCCUGAAGGUUUUUUGCAGAUAAGUGAUAAGUUAUCUUGUAAUCUUGGGAAACAACAUGAAAACUGUGGAUCAUCUAUGGUGUCACUGUAGCUACCUUCUAACAUUUCUGCUUUAAACAGUGGCAUUUAAAUCAUUUUGCCCAUAGCAACUAAUGUCCUUUAAAUUAGCAUUAAAAAUUCAUUCUUUUGGUUUAUCCUUCCUGAAUCAAGCUAAUUAACUAUCAUCUGAGAGCCCUUUAAAUUAUAACCUGAAUGUGUUACAUUGUCUAAUUUAUAAUGGCUCAUCUAAGCAAAUUGAAAACCCAAAAAGGAGUGAAUUAAUUAACGUUAAUUAAAGAGUACAGCACGAAGCAGAUGCCAGGUCAACCUUUGGAGUGUGCUUGGAAAAUCAUCAUUGGGACCAAGUUGUCCCUUUGCAGCAGAUAGCUCUGGACAAAAGGCAGAGCCCUGGUGGCCUUGACAAGAAGGAGGAAGGGAAGCCAGAUGUAAGGUUAGAAGUAGCAUUGAAGACAGACAUUAUAAAUCUGUUUAUUGCCUGUAUUACCAGUAUGAUAUUACAUUUCUUGGCAAUAAGAAAUCACUCUGAAGUUUUUCACAUUUUUUCUAGAAAUUCCAUUGUAUAUUUUAAUCAGCAAACAUUUUCUGAAUGCCUUCCUACCGCUUUUAUGUAGAUACUGAGGGCAACACAAAGGUAAGAGUGUA